GAUGAAGAACGUAGCGAAAUGCGAUAAGUAAUGUGAAUUGCAGAAUUCAGUGAAUCAUCGAAUCUUUGAACGCACAUUGCGCCCGCCAGUAUUCUGGCGGGCAUGCCUGUUCGAGCGUCAUUUCAACCAUCAAGCCCCAGGCUUGUGUUGGGGACCUGCGGCUGCCGCAGGCCCUGAAAACCAGUGGCGGGCUCGCUGUCACACCGGGCGUAGUAGAUUUUAUCUCGCUCAGGGCGUGCUGCGGGUUCCGGCCGUUAAAAAGCCUUUUUUACCCAAGGUUAACCUCGGAUCAGGUAGGAAGACCCGCUGAACUUAAGCAUAUCAAUAAGCGGAGGA
RNAcentral lists this unclassified non-coding RNA (336 nucleotides) under soil metagenome. RNAcentral's name for it is "partial contains 5.8S ribosomal RNA, internal transcribed spacer 2, and large subunit ribosomal RNA". The stretch from base 1 to 120 matches the Rfam family "5.8S ribosomal RNA", at positions 35 to 154 of the family's 154-position model. The record is from RNAcentral.